Molecule: unclassified non-coding RNA, 139 nt
Filed under: soil metagenome
Description: partial internal transcribed spacer 1
Source: RNAcentral
UAAUAAGUGUUUAUGGCACUUCUUAAAUCCAUAUCCACCUUGUGUGCAAUGUCAGCCGUUUCCUUUAUGAAAGCGGCCAAACAUCAACUUAUUUUUUAACUGUCUGUCUGAAAACUAUUAUGAAUAAACAAUUCAAAUA